This 253-nucleotide ribosomal RNA is filed under the name uncultured bacterium. Its description in RNAcentral is "partial 16S ribosomal RNA". It matches the Rfam family "Bacterial small subunit ribosomal RNA", at positions 524 to 776 of the family's 1533-position model. The record is from RNAcentral.
UACGAAGGGGGCGAGCGUUGUUCGGAUUUACUGGGCGUAAAGGGCGCGCAGGCGGCUCCACAAGUCAGGCGUGAAAGCCCCGGGCUCAACCUGGGAGGUGCGUUUGGGACUGUGGGGCUAGAGAUCGGGAGAGGAGAGUGGAAUUCCCAGUGUAGAGGUGAAAUUCGUAGAUAUUGGGAAGAACACCGGUGGCGAAGGCGGCUCUCUGGACCGAGACUGACGCUGAGGCGCGAAAGCGUGGGGAGCAAACAGG